AGUGGCGGACGGGUGAGUAACACGUGGGAACGUGCCUUUAGGUUCGGAAUAAGCCCGGGAAACUGGGUCUAAUACCGGAUGUGCCCUUCGGGGGAAAGAUUUAUCGCCUUUAGAGCGGCCCGCGUCUGAUUAGCUAGUUGGUGGUGUAAUGGACCACCAAGGCGACGAUCAGUAGCUGGUCUGAGAGGAUGAUCAGCCACAUUGGGACUGAGACACGGCCCAAACUCCUACGGGAGGCAGCAGUGGGGAAUCUUGCGCAAUGGGCGAAAGCCUGACGCAGCCAUGCCGCGUGAAUGAUGAAGGUCUUAGGAUUGUAAAAUUCUUUCACCGGGGACGAUAAUGACGGUACCCGGAGAAGAAGCCCCGGCUAACUUCGUGCCAGCAGCCGCGGUAAUACGAGGGGGCUAGCGUUGCUCGGAAUUACUGGGCGUAAAGGGAGCGUAGGCGGACAUUUAAGUCAGGGGUGAAAUCCCGGGGCUCAACCUCGGAACUGCCUUUGAUACUGGGUGUCUUGAGUGUGAUAGAGGUAUGUGGAACUCCGAGUGUAGAGGUGAAAUUCGUAGAUAUUCGGAAGAACACCAGUGGCGAAGGCGACAUACUGGAUCAUUACUGACGCUGAGGCUCGAAAGCGUGGGGAGCAAACAGGAUUAGAUACCCUGGUAGUCCACGCCGUAAACGAUGAUUGCUAGUUGUCGGGG
RNAcentral lists this ribosomal RNA (698 nucleotides) under uncultured Brevundimonas sp. RNAcentral describes it as "bacterial SSU rRNA". It matches the Rfam family "Bacterial small subunit ribosomal RNA", at positions 94 to 828 of the family's 1533-position model. Lineage: Bacteria; Pseudomonadati; Pseudomonadota; Alphaproteobacteria; Caulobacterales; Caulobacteraceae. The record is from RNAcentral.